This 494-nucleotide ribosomal RNA is filed under the name Salmonella enterica subsp. enterica serovar Kambole. RNAcentral's name for it is "partial 23S ribosomal RNA". It matches the Rfam family "Bacterial large subunit ribosomal RNA", at positions 34 to 567 of the family's 2925-position model. Lineage: Bacteria; Pseudomonadati; Pseudomonadota; Gammaproteobacteria; Enterobacterales; Enterobacteriaceae. The record is from RNAcentral.
UGGCAGUCAGAGGCGAUGAAGGGCGUGCUAAUCUGCGAUAAGCGCCGGUAAGGUGAUAUGAACCGUUAUAACCGGCGAUACCCGAAUGGGGAAACCCAGUGUGAUUCGUCACACUAUCAUUAACUGAAUCCAUAGGUUAAUGAGGCGAACCGGGGGAACUGAAACAUCUAAGUACCCCGAGGAAAAGAAAUCAACCGAGAUUCCCCCAGUAGCGGCGAGCGAACGGGGAGGAGCCCAGAGCCUGAAUCAGCAUGUGUGUUAGUGGAAGCGUCUGGAAAGGCGCGCGAUACAGGGUGACAGCCCCGUACACAAAAGCGCAUGUGCUGUGAGCUCGAUGAGUAGGGCGGGACACGUGGUAUCCUGUCUGAAUAUGGGGGGACCAUCCUCCAAGGCUAAAUACUCCUGACUGACCGAUAGUGAACCAGUACCGUGAGGGAAAGGCGAAAAGAACCCCGGCGAGGGGAGUGAAAAAGAACCUGAAACCGUGUACGUAC